UACGGAGGAUGCGAGCGUUAUCCGGAUUUAUUGGGUUUAAAGGGUGCGUAGGCGGACGCUUAAGUCAGCGGUAAAAUUGCGGGGCUCAACCUCGUCGAGCCGUUGAAACUGGGUGCCUUGAGUGGGCGAGAAGUACGCGGAAUGCGUGGUGUAGCGGUGAAAUGCAUAGAUAUCACGCAGAACUCCGAUUGCGAAGGCAGCGUACCGGCGCCCUACUGACGCUGAAGCACGAAGGCAUGGGUAUCGAACAGG
RNAcentral lists this ribosomal RNA (252 nucleotides) under uncultured bacterium. Its description in RNAcentral is "partial 16S ribosomal RNA". It matches the Rfam family "Bacterial small subunit ribosomal RNA", at positions 524 to 776 of the family's 1533-position model. The record is from RNAcentral.